GUGAAGGACGGGUGGUCAUACGAGGGAGACGCUAGAUUGUUUGGCCAUAACCCCUAAUCCAGCGACCCAACCAGCCUCCGCAGCACCCUCGCCCCGCCCCCUCCUGUUUCGGUGCAGGAGAAGGGGUGUGGCCGUCUGGGAGAAAUGGCGGACGGGGGCGGGGCGAAGGGAAGGAGGGGUUGAGUGCCUGGGGAGUCUGCGCGGGGGCGGGGUUUAGGGUUGCGGGGAGGGAUGAGAAGAGUUGAGGGAAUUGAGAGGUGGAUGCCGUUUGUCAUUCUGGUUUGUGAAUGCUAAAAAGCAACUGGGGACUCCUGUCUUGAGUCAGUUCCAUCCUCCGGGCUCUCAGUCUCCAACGUUUUGCUGUCUGUAUUUCUGCUUUUCAGUCUGUCUUUAGGAUGAAGCUGUAACUGAACUGAAGGAAAGAGAAACAGCCCUGAAUCAUUGGAGAUCAGUGUUUCUCUGCCUUUUGGGCCCUGCACAACUGUUAGCCUGGUGGAAAAGUGCAAAUUGCUCCUGCUCUCCCAGCAGAUUGGUCCUGCUUUGCUUGCAGCCUCAGCAGAAUUUUGAGCCUGAGCUGAAGCGCCUCACUUGGACGUGCACGCACCCCACUUGGGCACGUCUGGAUCAGA
RNAcentral lists this long non-coding RNA (629 nucleotides) under Bos grunniens (domestic yak). Its description in RNAcentral is "lncRNA (ENSBGRG00000019227.1)". Lineage: Eukaryota; Metazoa; Chordata; Mammalia; Artiodactyla; Bovidae. The record is from RNAcentral.